RNAcentral lists this ribosomal RNA (238 nucleotides) under uncultured soil bacterium. Its description in RNAcentral is "partial 16S ribosomal RNA". It matches the Rfam family "Bacterial small subunit ribosomal RNA", at positions 26 to 254 of the family's 1533-position model. The record is from RNAcentral.
AGGACGAACGCUGGCGGCGUGCCUAAUACAUGCAAGUAGAACGCUGAAGAGAGGAGCUUGCUCUUCUUGGAUGAGUUGCGAACGGGUGAGUAACGCGUAGGUAACCUGCCUGGUAGCGGGGGAUAACUAUUGGAAACGAUAGCUAAUACCGCAUAAAAUUGAUUAUUGCAUGAUAAUUAAUUAGAAAGAUGCAAUUGCAUCACUACAGAUGGACCUGCGUUGUAUUAGCUAGUGGUGA